UCAGCCUGUAGGAACUCAUGGGUUUCAUGU
Molecule: non-coding RNA, 30 nt
Filed under: Mus musculus (house mouse)
Lineage: Eukaryota; Metazoa; Chordata; Mammalia; Rodentia; Muridae
Source: RNAcentral